This is a long non-coding RNA of Amblyraja radiata (thorny skate), 124 nucleotides long. RefSeq lists it as uncharacterized. NCBI's taxonomy places the organism in Eukaryota, Metazoa, Chordata, Chondrichthyes, Rajiformes, Rajidae. The transcript is spliced from 2 exons. The record is from RefSeq and is a predicted model, not a curated record.
CUCAGCGGGUGCAGCAGCAUCUAUGGAGCGAAGGAAAUAGGCAACUUUCUCCAGCAUUUUUUUGUCCCCCUUCGGUUGUUCCAGCAUCUGCACCACCCCUACUGCACUGGCACAAGAAUCUGGG